Molecule: non-coding RNA, 1505 nt
Organism: Pelobates cultripes (western spadefoot toad)
Lineage: Eukaryota; Metazoa; Chordata; Amphibia; Anura; Pelobatidae
Source: the annotation of a GenBank genome assembly
UACAUCCUCUUUUAUCCUCCUUUUACUCAUUUUCCAUCUCUGUAGAACUGUAAGAAUAUCUCACAGGUAAUCAGUCCCCUUGAGUUCAGCGAAGUAGGUACUCUCAUUUAACAUUACUGGGCAUGGCCAGAACAUACAGGGUUAUUCGAAGUGAGAAUUGGCUCAAAUUCAAAGUUUAAGGCCAAAGUAGCUGAAUGGAAAGCAGACAUGGAGAAUGUUUCCAGUGCAGCUACUCUGGUCUUCCAUUUGAAAUUCACUUUGAAUUCCUGACAAGUAUCACUUUCGUGAAUAACCAUGCUACUGUUCAUAAAGGAUAAAGCCUUAGACAUUGGUACAGUUUACUACUUGGUACUGCCACUGUGCAGUAUUAAACUUUUUUUUUUUUUCUGUAGCCGAUUUAUUUUUUUUCUUCUUCCCACUGUCAAAUGUGACUUUAAUAUUUAUUCUAAAUCCUAACAGCAUGUAUAGUGAGGAGUCCAGCAUCCUGACCUGCAGUUUCAAAUUCUAUACACUGUCCCAUAUUAAACAGAUGGACUACUCCUGUCUCAUCUAUUUCAAAUUGCUGAUUUAUUGGGUCCCUAAUGAGCAAUAAGGAUUUUCUUAACUAUUGCGAUGGAAACAUUUAUAUGGUGUAGGUUUGUUUUAUAUUACCAAAUGAUGGCAUUCUGUGGUCUGUUCAGACUGGUUCUUCUUUUAUAUACAGUUUGAAUAUCAUCCUGAAUUGUAUUCUUGGCAAUGAGUGGAGUUUUAUAAAUAUACUUCUAAAUAUACUAUCUGCCAGUGACAGGGUUACGAAGUGGUGUGGUUUUUUUUAUUUAUUUAUUUUAUUAUUAUUUUUUGUGCUUUUAUUAUCAUGGUGAUCUUGUAAUACCCCAUAAUGUGUUUCUAGAUCUCUCAUGUCCUUGUAUAAUACAUUUAUUCCAAAUGUUUAAACGUGGAAUUUGUUAAUUAAUGCUGAAGCAAGGGAGAUCCUUUUUUAAAUCUUUUGAUGGAUGUUAAAAUACAUAUACAGGAAACCGUACCACUAAUGAUAUGAUGAGAUGGGCUGGUGAAAUGAAUGUGCAAUGUCAAUGAAGGAUAAAUAAGUGUGACUUCUUGGUCACAGUUGAGUUGGCACUCAGGACACAUCAAACUGAUGUGACUUAUGUUAAUAUUUAUAAGCUUGUAAAUAUGUAAAUGAUCCUCUAUUUAUAAUCCUGCUCCCACUUGUUUACAUGAAACCCAGCCCGAGGUGGUCACAGAAUGCUGAUUAACACUAUUGUUACACCCACAGCGCAGCUCUUCCUGGACAGGUUAAAACAUUAAUCAAGAAGCCUUACCGUUUUAAUAUGGAUAAAAAAAAAAAUCUAAAUAUUGUCCUAUUUAAAAAAAAAUGUUAAUGUCUAUAAAACUGUUUAAUCCUGUGCAAAGAGCUUACACAAAGACUUUGAGUGAACAUGUACAAAUAACCAUAAAAGAUGUGCUGAUGUUUUAACUUAUAAAAAUAAAAAAACUUAAGUGUCUAA